UGCAGUCGAGCGAACAGAUAAGGAGCUUGCUCCUUUGACGUUAGCGGCGGACGGGUGAGUAACACGUGGGUAACCUACCUAUAAGACUGGGAUAACUUCGGGAAACCGGAGCUAAUACCGGAUAACAUUUGGAACCGCAUGGUUCUAAAGUGAAAGAUGGUUUUGCUAUCACUUAUAGAUGGACCCGCGCCGUAUUAGCUAGUUGGUAAGGUAACGGCUUACCAAGGCGACGAUACGUAGCCGACCUGAGAGGGUGAUCGGCCACACUGGAACUGAGACACGGUCCAGACUCCUACGGGAGGCAGCAGUAGGGAAUCUUCCGCAAUGGGCGAAAGCCUGACGGAGCAACGCCGCGUGAGUGAUGAAGGGUUUCGGCUCGUAAAACUCUGUUAUUAGGGAAGAACAAACGUGUAAGUAACUGUGCAUGUCUUGACGGUACCUAAUCAGAAAGCCACGGCUAACUACGUGCCAGCAGCCGCGGUAAUACGUAGGUGGCAAGCGUUAUCCGGAAUUAUUGGGCGUAAAGCGCGCGUAGGCGGUUUCUUAAGUCUGAUGUGAAAGCCCACGGCUCAACCGUGGAGGGUCAUUGGAAACUGGGAAACUUGAGUGCAGAAGAGGAAAGUGGAAUUCCAUGUGUAGCGGUGAAAUGCGCAGAGAUAUGGAGGAACACCAGUGGCGAAGGCGACUUUCUGGUCUGUAACUGACGCUGAUGUGCGAAAGCGUGGGGAUCAAACAGGAUUAGAUACCCUGGUAGUCCACGCCGUAAACGAUGAGUGCUAAGUGUUAGGGGGUUUCCGCCCCUUAGUGCUGCAGCUAACGCAUUAAGCACUCCGCCUGGGGAGUACGACCGCAAGGUUGAAACUCAAAGGAAUUGACGGGGACCCGCACAAGCGGUGGAGCAUGUGGUUUAAUUCGAAGCAACGCGAAGAACCUUACCAAAUCUUGACAUCCUUUGAAAACUCUAGAGAUAGAGCCUUCCCCUUCGGGGGACAAAGUGACAGGUGGUGCAUGGUUGUCGUCAGCUCGUGUCGUGAGAUGUUGGGUUAAGUCCCGCAACGAGCGCAACCCUUAAGCUUAGUUGCCAUCAUUAAGUUGGGCACUCUAGGUUGACUGCCGGUGACAAACCGGAGGAAGGUGGGGAUGACGUCAAAUCAUCAUGCCCCUUAUGAUUUGGGCUACACACGUGCUACAAUGGACAAUACAAAGGGCAGCUAAACCGCGAGGUCAUGCAAAUCCCAUAAAGUUGUUCUCAGUUCGGAUUGUAGUCUGCAACUCGACUACAUGAAGCUGGAAUCGCUAGUAAUCGUAGAUCAGCAUGCUACGGUGAAUACGUUCCCGGGUCUUGUACACACCGCCCGUCACACCACGAGAGUUUGUAACACCCGAAGCCGGUGGAGUAACCAUUUAUGGAGCUAGCCGUCGAA
Molecule: ribosomal RNA, 1424 nt
Filed under: Staphylococcus sp.
Lineage: Bacteria; Bacillati; Bacillota; Bacilli; Caryophanales; Staphylococcaceae
Description: bacterial SSU rRNA
Rfam family: Bacterial small subunit ribosomal RNA
Source: RNAcentral